This 646-nucleotide ribosomal RNA is filed under the name uncultured Desulfobacteraceae bacterium. RNAcentral describes it as "bacterial SSU rRNA". It matches the Rfam family "Bacterial small subunit ribosomal RNA", at positions 28 to 644 of the family's 1533-position model. The record is from RNAcentral. Lineage: Bacteria; Pseudomonadati; Thermodesulfobacteriota; Desulfobacteria; Desulfobacterales; Desulfobacteraceae.
AAUGAACGCUGGCGGCGUGCUUAACACAUGCAAGUCGUACGAGAAAUCCUUGGCUUGCCAGGGAGAGUAAAGUGGCGCACGGGUGAGUAUCGCGUGGGUAAUCUACCCUUGAAUUCAGGAUAACAUUUCGAAAGGGGUGCUAAUACUGGAUAAAAUCCUGAUGGUUUAGGCCAUAAGGAUCAAAGAUAGCCUCUACAUGUAAGCUAUUGUUUAGGGAUGAGCCCGCGUACCAUUAGCUAGUUGGUGGGGUAAGAGCCUACCAAGGCAACGAUGGUUAGCUGGUCUGAGAGGAUGAUCAGCCACACUGGAACUGAAACACGGUCCAGACUCCUACGGGAGGCAGCAGUGAGGAAUUUUGCGCAAUGGGGGAAACCCUGACGCAGCAACGCCGCGUGAGUGAAGAAGGCUUUCGGGUCGUAAAGCUCUGUCAAGAGGGAAGAAAGUGGGAGAUGGUAAUACUGUUUUCUAUUGACGGUACCUCUGAAGGAAGCACCGGCUAACUCCGUGCCAGCAGCCCGCGGUAAUACGGGGGGUGCAAGCGUUAUUCGGAUUUAUUGGGCGUAAAGAGCGCGUAGGCGGUUUAUCAAGUCAGAUGUGAAAGCCCUGGGCUCAACCUGGGAAGUGCAUUUGAAACUAGUAGGACUUG